UCUGGUUGAGGAACAAAGGAAGGAGCCAAAUUAUCCAAAAAAUGAUCAGACAUAGUAGACGGUAGACUGGGGGAUGAAUUCUUGAAAGCUGAUCUGAAACGUUUAAUAUUUUGCCAAACAAAAGAUGGUUUAACUUCAGCCCAGGAACACUCACUAUCCCACCAGGGAGGCAAUGGAAUAUUAUUUGAGGAAGGCUUCUUUGAUGGAAAAACUUCGUCAGCAGUCUCAAUAAUAGCAUGUGCAAAAGCUUCAGAACUCCGAUACACAUCACCUUGGCUUAAGAUAGAAAGAGUUAAGAUCUUAUUAUCUAGGGUAGCUUUGUAUAAAUCCCAGUCUGCGCUAGCCAACUGAUAUUUAAUUCGGAAAGAGGUUUUAGUUUUAUUGAAAUUUUUAAAAGGUAAAUUUAUUAAAAUGGGGAAGUGAUCACUACCAUAAGUGGAGUUUAAGGUUUGCCAAAUCAAUGAUGAGGCUAAACUGGGUGAAGAAAUGGGAAGGUCAGGAGCACUUUUACCUUCAUUAAUAUUGGUUCUUCGUGUAGGAGUGCAAUUAUUUAAAAUACAAAGAUUAAGUGAAUCUACAAUGUCCAACA
Long non-coding RNA from Melitaea cinxia (Glanville fritillary), 589 nucleotides. RefSeq lists it as uncharacterized. NCBI's taxonomy places the organism in Eukaryota, Metazoa, Arthropoda, Insecta, Lepidoptera, Nymphalidae. The transcript has 2 exons. The record is from RefSeq and is a predicted model, not a curated record.